UUUUUUUCGCUAUCUUUAUUGGUUCCUAAUGUAUAUAUUAUAGAGUGAAGUAAUAAGAUGGAAUUAAAAAUUGAGUUAUAAGGAAAGUAGUCGUGGUUGUGAACCGAUUUCGCCCAUUUCAAGAAAAUAUUAUAUACCGAAUUUUAUUGAAAUCUGUCAAGUCCUGAGGUAUGGUCUUUGACCCAUAAGUAGGAGAUGCCACGCCUACUUGUGUUCCAAGUUUCAUUAAGAUAUCUAAAUUUUUACUCAAGUUAUCGCUUGCACGGACAGACGGACAGACAUCCGGAUUUCAACUCCACUGGUCAUCCUGAUCAUUUAUAUAUAUAUAACUCCAUAUCUAACUCUUUUAUUUCUUGGUGACACAAACAACCGUUAUGUGAACAAAACUAUAAUACUCUCUUUUUAGCAACUUUGUUGCGAGAGUAUAAAAAAACUUGACAACUGUCGGAAGUGUCACUAACAUUUCUUUACUAUUUCCAAAUUUCACAGCUUUUGUCGUAAUCGGCGUUCCCACAGAGCACCUAGUUUAACCCUCCGAUGUUCGGUGCCUUAUGAUGCGUAUUAAUUAUGAAGAGCAAUUGGGUUUACAACUAUAUAGUUGCAUGGAAUGUUCAUUAAGACAUAUGGGACGAUUACAUUUGCUGCAGUUAUAACGAGUUUUACGUCGCUUUUUCGAAGAAGAAGCAGCACAAUGGUAGCACGAUGACCGUUUUGAAGCAACUUGAGCAUAUGAUUGUUGCUGUGUUGCAUCUGAUGUCGAUGGACAAGAUUCCG
Long non-coding RNA from Zeugodacus cucurbitae (melon fly), 774 nucleotides. RefSeq lists it as uncharacterized. The transcript has 2 exons. NCBI's taxonomy places the organism in Eukaryota, Metazoa, Arthropoda, Insecta, Diptera, Tephritidae. The record is from RefSeq and is a predicted model, not a curated record.